UACGAAGGGGGCUAGCGUUGUUCGGAAUUACUGGGCGUAAAGCGCACGUAGGCGGAUUGUUAAGUCGAGGGUGAAAUCCUGAGGCUCAACCUCAGAACUGCCUUCGAUACUGGCAAUCUCGAGUCCGGAAGAGGUUGGUGGAACAGCUAGUGUAGAGGUGAAAUUCGUAGAUAUUCGCAAGAACACCAGUGGCGAAGGCGGCUCACUGGCCCGGUACUGACGCUGAGGCACGAAAGCGUGGGGAGCAAACAGG
Molecule: ribosomal RNA, 253 nt
Filed under: uncultured bacterium
Lineage: Bacteria
Description: partial 16S ribosomal RNA
Rfam family: Bacterial small subunit ribosomal RNA
Source: RNAcentral